RNAcentral lists this transfer RNA (60 nucleotides) under Mesocricetus auratus (golden hamster). RNAcentral also lists the same sequence under 1 other name. Lineage: Eukaryota; Metazoa; Chordata; Mammalia; Rodentia; Cricetidae. The record is from Rfam by way of RNAcentral.
GUGGCUCAGAGGUUAAGAGCACUGACUGCUCUUCCAGAGGUCCUGAGUUCAAUUCUCAGC